CCGGACGUGGUGUAGUAGUCAACAUGCUCGCAUUGGAAGCGAGGGACCGCGGGUGCGAAUCCUGCCGUCCGGACCA
Molecule: transfer RNA, 76 nt
Filed under: Ereboglobus luteus
Lineage: Bacteria; Pseudomonadati; Verrucomicrobiota; Opitutia; Opitutales; Opitutaceae
Description: tRNA-Pro
Rfam family: tRNA
About the family: Transfer RNA (tRNA) molecules are approximately 80 nucleotides in length.
Source: RNAcentral